Molecule: ribosomal RNA, 253 nt
Filed under: uncultured bacterium
Lineage: Bacteria
Description: partial 16S ribosomal RNA
Rfam family: Bacterial small subunit ribosomal RNA
Source: RNAcentral
UACAGAGGUGGCAAGCGUUGUUCGGAAUUACUGGGCGUAAAGGGCGCGUAGGCGGCCCACUAAGUCAGACGUGAAAUCCCCCGGCUUAACCUGGGAACUGCGUCUGAUACUGGAGGGCUUGAGUAUGGGAGAGGGAUGUAGAAUUCCAGGUGUAGCGGUGAAAUGCGUAGAUAUUGGGAGGAACACCAGUGGCGAAGGCGGCUCACUGGACCGGAACUGACGCUGAGGCGCGAAAGCGUGGGGAGCAAACAGG